AACCCUAAUUCGUUCUCUUCCUGCGCCUUCGUCUACAGAAACCCUAAUGGCGAAAUCCUACACCUCCAUCACAAAUCAGUUUCAUCACUGCGAUUUGGGUGAAACGCUCAAGAUUCACAAUGAUUGGGUUUUCCUUUUGUCUGGUUUGAUUUGAUGAGCACGCAACAAUUGAGAGGUUCGUCGGUAUUUGAUGUUCAAUCGAUCUUCAGUCAUCUCCGAUCUUCAUCUCGCAGAUACAAAUUUUAUUUCAUCGCCACAACGAGCCUCUCAAGACUCAUCCCUCCGUUUGUGAGUCCUGUUCACAAAUCGUAUUUGACUUCUUGGCCAUUCGAUUCUUGGUUUUCAUCUCUCAAAUCUUCUUCGCAAAUCGUAGGAGAAGGCUAAAUCUUGUACAAAAUGUUACAAAAUUGACACUUCCAGUAGCAAAGAAAGCGGAGUCAAAACCGAACUGAAUCGCACCUUGCACAUCCCUAAAAUCACUUCAGAUGAUAUCCUUGCAAUUAUUGCAAAUGUAACUCAUAUUGAAUCAUUAAUAGGGAAGCGAACUGCAACCAGUAAGUAGAAAACACGCAAUCCGUUAAACAUAUUGAGAUUUCAUAUUUACCCCUGUAACAUAAACUGAUGUAUAGUGGGCUUACGCCAUGACCAUAACCAAGCUCCAGUUGCUAACUCGCUGGUGUUUUGCUUUUAAUUUGAUGUGAAUACCGAUGUGGAUGUAUAAUUUGAGUAAAUAACUUAUAUGUAUGUAUUCUAUAAGAGUGAUAAAAAUAGUAUUUGAAAUAAUGAGAUAUGAAAAAGAAAAAUCCACAAGGAACAUUUGCUAAUGCAUUGUUAGCAUGGGCGGUUCUUAGAAGGCCUGUGCCAGGGCCACGACCCUGGCAAGUUUUUCGGCCGUACUGCUAAUUUUCCGCAUUUCAAUCGAAAUUUUUUAUAUAUAAGAUGUUCGGCCCGGGCAUUUUUUAGUGUCCGUGUCUUUCGGCCCUGGGACGUUCAACGGGCAAGAUCCGCCACUGAUUGUUAGUAAUGGUUGAUGGUGUUCAUAAGAGAAAAUUAAUUAAAUUGCAAUUUUUGUGCACUUUCUUUAAAUUAUUUUUUUAAGUUUUGCAAAAAAAAAUCGAAGUAUACAAUAUGAUUUCUCAAUAUGGUGUUUGUUUAAAUUAAAUAAUCUUGGUAUUUUCACUAUGUCACUAAUUUAACUAAUGUGUCAGUUUGUUCCAAGAAUGUCAACUUUCAGGUAAUGAACUAAAGGACAAUAAGGAUGCAAAUCAUUCCUUUACUGGUGAAAUUUUGGACUAUGUAAAGUAAAAUGUGAAAGUAAGAAGCGAUGUUAUUCACAAUAAUUUCUUAAGAACAAAAGAUAUGUCCAGUCGUACAACUCCCGAGAUUCUUGUGCUGUAUAUAUACUUCGUUGGAAGGUACAUGUCUCGAUCGGGCCUUUAAUAAGUGAACAUGUCAAAAUUGCCAGCUCUACUUAUCAUGCUUUCCUUUUUAAUGUUUUGCUAAGCAUAGGUCAAGAGAAGCUAACCCACAAUUAGUAGAUUAUCUCAUGUUAUUACUUGUCAGGGCAUGUUUGGGAUCCAUUUAAAAAAAACAAAUGAAGAGACAUUUGGGGCACUUGGUUACACUUACUCCAUUAUUGCAGUGUAUGUAACUAAACAACUAUAUUUUGGAUAUUACUACUCAUCAACAUACAUGAUUUAUAACAAUUGUAGGUGUUAUUCGCAUGAAGGAUCUUCUUCAUUUUUCUAGAUACUCAUGCUUCACAUCUACCGCUUCAUGGGUGAGGAUCGGUUUUGUUCUCUGAAGAAAAAGAACCAAUUAAACAAGUUGAUUAGCAGUUCAGUAUGGGGAAAACUUGGUCUCUUUGACAUCUUUAGUGCUCAUACAUGGAAGGCGAAAAGUUCGACAAAGCAAAAAACACAAGAGCCGAAAUAGUUAGUUGGCGGAGAGGGAAAUGCAAUAUCAAGCUGACACAUGGCCCAAGUUUUUUUCAUCUAUUACAUAUAAUAAAUGAACAUAAUUUGGUCGCGUGGCAUCGUGCCAUUGCAGCUGGGAUUAUAUUUGGCGCACUACUUUUAGGUUUUCAAACAUAUUUGGACGUUUUACAUGAUUAUUACCCGUUUUCAUGUGCAAAAGGAUAGUGUGUUUACAAGAUGUCCAAUUUUUCUUGUAAAAAAAAGAGGUUAGAUAGUCACGUUCAUAUGAAUAAUUACAUCAUUCUAAUUUUGGUUGUUCUCUACGCACCAUCAAAUAUCUUUCACCACUUACGUUAUGUUUAUAAUUAUUACCAAGCUUUCCAUAUUUUUUGUUACUUGAUUUUAAGAAAUAUUAUUUUUUGCAGACUCAUGGAUCGAGAGCCGGCCAAGAAAGAGCAAAGAAAACAAUUGCCUUCCGAAAGGUUGACGAGACUAUGGAUAAACUCAAAAUAUGAAGCAAAUUCAGGAGGCAUUGGGAACAGCAUCGGGUGCAGCUGCUGAUUACGAUAAGGUCUACAUUUAUUCGAGUGGUAGGCAAUUUGCACAACGGUUAAUAUUUGGAUAUAAAAAGUAUGGCUACUUAAGGAAAUAUUUAUGUGGAUAAUUUGUCACGUGAGCGAUGUAAAACUUGAUCCUUAGAUUGGGAGACCAAUUGUGUAUGGGUUGGCCGCAAAAAGGAGAGUAUGGAGUUGGAAGAAAUGUGGAAGGAUGAACUUUCAAUGAUAUAUGGAUGUCACUUUGUUUAUGAUUUAUGAAGUGACUUCAAGGUUAUUAAAUUUUAUGUGUCUGUUAAAUCAAAGAGGACUUGCAUCUAUAACGUUGAUGUGGCAGGGCGUGCUACACCAACCGGACUGAGUUUAUGUUACUUUUAGUAAAUUGUAAAUGUAACAUUAUUUGUCAUUUUCUUGAUGUUUUUAUACACAUCUUAUAAAGAAAACUUCAUACCUAAUAAUACAAUCCACUUUGCUACUAA
Helianthus annuus (common sunflower) is the source of this 2949-nucleotide RNA transcript. RefSeq lists it as uncharacterized. The transcript has 10 exons. The record is from RefSeq and is a predicted model, not a curated record. NCBI's taxonomy places the organism in Eukaryota, Viridiplantae, Streptophyta, Magnoliopsida, Asterales, Asteraceae.